UUAUACAAUAACCAACCCACUUUUCAAUAUCCAGAUCAGUCCAACCCCAUGAACAAUAUAUUACAGCAAGCAAACGACCCCACCUCUUUCUUUUUCAUUUUCACUCAACAAAAUCUAAUCUAGAAACGCGAUCCAUCGAUUCCAGCGACUCAAAUCGCGAACCAGCAGCCCAGCUACUGCAAAACGCAGCCCAGUAGUCCAUGUCACUCGCGCGUGUCUAUCUUCGUACAAGGAUCGUUGUUGGAUUUUCUAGGUGUUAUCAUCUUGGUGCCUCGCAUGUCCUUGUUCAAGAUCGGAAGACUCCCUUCAUAUUUCGGUUGGAAAUUGGUACUCGUUCUUAGAUGGAAACCUUAUCCUCCAUUUCGAAUAUGAAUUUGUUGAAAUUCCAUCCCGAAUUUCCUCCUAUUUUCUGCCCUAACUUAAUUAUAUAAAUACCUUUAUCUUUCUCUUUGUGAAGGGAAAAAAAGAGAGGGUGAGAGGGUUACGAAAAUUGGAAAAAAGUGAGAGAAAAUAGACGUUGCAGGUAGCUUAUACAAGAUGGAUAAGAGCCAACAUAGAGAGAAAAGUAGAGAAAAAUUAUUAGUCAUAUACAUUUAUAUAAGAAUACUUAGGAAACAGGUUUCAAAAUAGAUUGAAAAAUCCAGAUUUUACUCCCUCUUUUUACUGGUUCGCUUCUGUUUUCUUUAUCGAACUUCUCAUAGUUUUGUUUCGGUGGUGGAAGCUUGCUGUCUCUGCUCAUUCAGUCUAAGUUCAGCUGCCUGGAAAAAGUGAAGUCAUUUAGCUGAAUCAUGCUUAAUGCAGUGGUCUCUCUCUGGUUAUUUUAAUGAAGUUGAAACAUUGUUCCUUCAUGUAUAUCUUCUAUGUAUAUAUGGUUAUAUCAUGUGUUAUGACUUCAUUUUACUUUUCUAUAGUAUGUAGCUUGAAGAACAGACUCAAGCAUGCUUAAAAUCAUUAAUUGUCGUAUUCUGUUAUAAGUUCUUUUUUUAUGUUAUGAGUGUAGUCUUCAAAUCAAAGUUUGUAAUGUGGGUUCUUCACUUUUCUUAUGUGUUCUACUUCCUAGAAUGAUGGUAAAUAAUGUUUUGCAUUUGAAACAAGUUGCUUAGUAGACUAAAGGGUUGACUUUGUUAAUGAUAAGUUUUAGUGUUACUUUCUUGUUUAUAUUGAGAUCCUUCAUUGCUCUUAAUACUAUUUAGUUAUGCUACAUGAUUGUUUAAACCACAUCUUUGCUAGACUUUGACGAAAUUGAUUUGUUAAUUUCAUUUUUGUGCAUGUGAUACCACUCGAGUCCUCAUGGACUCCAAUCUUCUUCCCUCAUAUCCCGGAUGGGCCAUAAAGGCCCUAAAUCCCCUUUUCCUUCGAGUCAGCCCCCUCAGCAAGCUGCAAAAUUGAUGUACAGGUUGAGGUCGAUAAAUGUAGGCUGGAAAUUAAUUUUACAGGUCUCUAAAAAGCCCAAAAGAGGGCAGUAUACAUGAAUUAUAAAAUUAUAUACCCAAGUAUACACAGAAAGAAUCAUUAUAUACAGGUCUGAGCUGACAAAACAGGUGAUGGAAGUCUGAAAUGGGCAGCAUACAUUCAGCAUACAUCCCAGUAUACACGAAAACGAGUCGAAAUACAUAUCGUAUACAUCCAUAUACGUUUGGUGUAUAAACAUAUUUUAAGUGUGGAAAAUAAGGAAUAUAGGGCCAGAAGCCCAAAGGAAAUUCCAGCAAGCCCAACAGGUCUAAGUAGGUCAAGAUCCAUUUUGGAUUACUUAAAUUUAGGAUAGGUUAUAAAGAUUUGGGCCUAAAGCCCAAAUUUAAUAAUCUCUUCCCUUUUUACUCUUAUUUGUAUUGUUUUAAGUAGGGAAAAUUGUAUAUAAUAGCAAACUAAUAACCUAAAAUAAAUGGAGUAGCUAGAGUUUGAUUUAA
Molecule: long non-coding RNA, 1907 nt
Organism: Solanum pennellii
Lineage: Eukaryota; Viridiplantae; Streptophyta; Magnoliopsida; Solanales; Solanaceae
Exons: 2
Source: RefSeq, a predicted model, not a curated record